RNA transcript from Cephus cinctus (wheat stem sawfly), 5014 nucleotides. RefSeq lists it as uncharacterized. NCBI's taxonomy places the organism in Eukaryota, Metazoa, Arthropoda, Insecta, Hymenoptera, Cephidae. The transcript has 10 exons. The record is from RefSeq and is a predicted model, not a curated record.
GACCAGCGUUCACUCCGCCAGUCCUCGUCUCUUCGACUGGCAGCCGGGAGCCUUUCACUCGCGUUUUCUCACGCUGUUGCGCCAAACUCGGCCUCGUAAUCCGUUUUCUAAUGUAACGUACCUAUGGGGUUCAUAUUUUACGAUUAGCUACGUGAGAAAUUACCCUGGAGAUAUAUGAAUGCCUUGAGAACAGCCCUCAUAACCUUAAAAGUUCCUAGAAAAUCAUGUAAGGGCGGGUGCUGCCAUGGUGGGAGCAACUUUGACACCAUCAAAAGUCCCUAGAUCGGUCAAGGUCGUGUUGUCGCAUUUGUACCGGAUUGUUCGCAUGCCGGACAAAUUAAUGGGAGUGGCUACAAGAAGGAAUCUUACAAUAACCCGUGUCAAGAAAAACUUCGAGAAAAAAUAUAAAAUAAUGGAUUCCUCAGGAUCUUUCAUAUAUUGCGCGCAGGUUGCAGACCUAAGGGGAAUGGUGAAUGGUCGAAUUCUUGGCUUUUUCUCUCACUUCGCCAAGGUGACCCUGGUCCAUUAUAACGGCAGGACAAUGUCCACGGAAUUCAGCACUGACAGUAUAAAGCCUUAUAGAUAUGUACUCUUCCCAAAAUUUCCCAAAAUUGGAGAAUCUUCGUACGACGAUGAUCUACGCAGCUUGUCAUAGAAUACGCCUGGUGCCAAGAUUUAUAAGAAUUUCAUCGACCACUCAAAGAAUCGUUAAUGCUAAUAUUCAAGAAUAUAUUAAUGGAAUACCGGUCAUCGGCCGAAUCUAGUGAUUCUUGACCAAUCGUGACAAGAUCAUGGCCAGUCUCAUGACCGCAGCACUCACGAGUAGCCAAACAGUCUCCGUUUGGAGUACAGUGGCUUCCUGGAAGAUUACUUAAAAGCCCUGAGGCCAUAGUUAAGAAAAUAACUCAUCUUCACACUACGUAUAAACACUACCGGUGUGCCCUUGUAACAAUAAUUAAUUAAUUACAUAUGGAUUUUAUGGAAGCUCACAUACCCACGUAUUCAAGUAAAAGAUACAUCAGUGGAUGUAUACGAUAAAAUGACAAGAUGCAAAAUUGUGCCGACCUUGAAUAUAAAAUGUGUCCUUGGAUCAACAAAGGAAUUCGCAUGCGUUUCGGGUGCGUUUUGCUUGCGUUUUGUCGUUCGGUACUGAAGAUGAAUUUUUCAUCGUGAAAUCCAACACAAGAGCGAUUAUAUGGGAUUAAUUUUCUUUUAGGAACUACCAUGGACUCGAACGGAGUUAAGCGAGUAUACAAGACCCAUGAAAUCCCGGAUCCUUUAUGAAGAUAAAUAAAAAUAGAGAUUGAAGGAAAUAGAAGAGAGGGCGAAGUGUACGAGAGGCAAAGGGAAAAUAAAAGAAGUGGGAUAAUCGAGUUACGAGGAAGGAGUCGGCGAGACCCACGUAGGUUUUGCCGGAUAGUGAAAGCGACUAUCAAUUCUCAGUCUCUUGGAAGCCCUCCGGCCACAAAAUAAGAUUCCUUUGACCCUCCUAUAAACUCACUGCUCGUCAUAUAACGUAUCUUUAUUAUAGGUGUCAGAGUUUCGUCGAAAAUGAGAUGAACUCUUAGUUUCUAAUUCACAGCAGAUACCAGAAAAAAGUCAACACACGAUAUAAAGGAGGAGUCGUGCCUUGAAGAAGGAGAAAUUUUAUUCAGUAACAAUAAAGAGAAUCAAUAAGAAAGAAAGAACUUAACAACGGAAGACAGUACGUGACACUAUUGAUAAAAAAUAAGUGAAUAACAAACUGGCAGAGACGCAUUCUGAGGACAAGAUUAAGAAAAGAAAAAAAAGAGAAGGAAUAAUAAAAAUUCAUGUUUUGGAUGAAUGAUGAAAUUUUCAGCGCCUGCCAAUUAAUUGCUGAUCAGCCACUGAUUACUCGGUUGUGAUUUUGCAAUAGUCCAUUUCUCGCCACUUCUCAAAUGCAGCCAAGUCAAUCGUGCACGUAAUCAUUGUCCGAAUGUUCAUCUCAUUCAGUUCUGUGUUCAUAAAACCGAUCAAAUGCUUCAGACACUCUGAACUGCAACUUCAUCAUGAAAACUUAAUGCAAUGCGAGUCGUGGCCCAAUUAUAGCGAUAGAACGGUAUUCGCACACUCCAAUGUAUAUAAGUAUGCAUUCUACAUAUGUAAAAAUGCAUAUAUGGUGUGUAUACCUAUCUGUAGAUGUACAGGAACGCAAAGACAUGUUCUGUAGGUAUUCACCUGAAGCUUGCACGUGUAUUCAUAUCAGGAACGGAGUCUCUCUGAUAUAUAGAUAUAUACUUACCAUAUUGGUAUUCAUGCCAAUCCGGAUUUUACUGUAUAUCGCCUGUACCAAAACGCUGCCCAACAACGCCACUACUUGUACUGCCUAUGCUACUGAUGUACUUUCACUUGGUUUUCGUUGCGCAUAUUCUACUCAAGGAAGAUCUUUGUUCGAGCAUUGGAAUUUCUUGAAGGACCUUGUCGAGGUCCCAGGCAAGGAUUCUUAGGGCCUUGUAGAGGGCUUCACGGUGGGGAAUCCCCCAAUUGUUGCAUACGGUAUAUAUUGUCAUUGUCCCUCCUACGCAUGUGAAUUCUUUUAAUAUGACAAUUCAUCAUGUUUGAUGUACAUCAGAAAGUAAGAGAGGGAAAAAGGAAAAAUGACCGUGUAUCAGAUUUCAUGUUAUUUUUGUUCUCAAGGCGCAGUCCAUGCUGUAUUGCUUUUAAAAGCGAUAAUAGUACUGGCAAGAAUUACUACUGUACACUCCAUUUCAUGAGGUCAUAAUAUAGUUAUCAAAUAGAUAACCAUCAUGCAAAGGAUAUUCAUAAUAUCUAAGAGCAUAAUGUACUGUUAGUAAAAAUUCUUAUUAGUUAAAUAGAGAUUCCUGACUGUUAAAUUUCAUAAAGCAAGUCACGACUCAGUGACUAGACAAAUGACUUGACUAAGUUUUGUAUGUUGCAGUAUCAGUCGAAAAAUCCGUCAGUUGUCACUCACUUGUCGCGAUGAUCUGAGUCUGAAUAAUAAUGACUGUGUCAUUGGACAAUUGUAGGAUUCGCUACAGGUUGAAAAAUUAUUCAUCCCGAUACGACUCAAUAGGCACGUUGAAUGUUCUAAGAAAAUUGUACAAGUACCCAACGGUCAAUGACACUCUAAAUAGGGACAAUGAAGUAAACGUUAACAUUAUGGUAAUAGAUUGACAAAAAAUCAUUAAGCCAAAUAAAAGCAAAGUGACGCUUUUGAUUGUCACUCCGAAAAAGAUGGAAUUCUUGAAUGAUGAUAACAAUAAGAAAAACAUUAUGGGACGUUGUGUAAAUAAAAAAUGGCCUACAAAAAGCAGGAGGAGAAUGUUCCUUUAUUAUUCAAUGGUAAUUCUCUGGGUUAUAAGAAGCCCUCGUGUUCGUCGGCUAAAUAUUAUUGCUUACUGAAACUAAAGCAUCAGUUUUUGUUGUUGUAGCUUUAAUUCUCUAAUGUCUCUGUAGUCCGUCAUAUGUAAUAAUGCUGUCUGUUACCAAGGAAAAUUUUCUUCAGCUGACUUGUAUUUUUUCUAUCAACAUUUGUUUUUCAAAGUCAAACUGGGGAAUCCUAAUUCUCCGUAUUUGUCACUGACUACUGGUAAGAAGAUCUUGAUUUCUUUUCACCAAGUGACAAUAUGAUCAUUGUCAAAAAUAUUUCGCAAUCCCAACUUCUCAGCUCGUUACAAUAUAAUAAUAAGUUCUGGAAACUGGAGCGCAAUUAUAUUUCAUAUUCGUCCCAUGGUGCUCUUGCAAUACAAGUAUUUGUUUGCCAGUAUAUACAUAUUUCAUUUUUCACAGUGACAAGAUUUUGGAUGUUGUCAUCAGGCUUAAGGAUUUUAUUGCUGCAAGUAACAGUACAGUGUCACCAUAUUUUUCACAUUUAGCAUUGACAGUUUCCGCAGGUUGUCCUUCGCACGUGAAAAAUUCUUCAGUGAGAAUAAGUAUUACAAGCAAUCAUAAUUGGGAUACAAGCCAUAUUGACUAGCAAAUGCUCACUGGUACAGUAUACAGGAUUAGUGUGAACGAACCUUAAGUGCCAAACCAACGUCUGCAGUAGCCAAAGCCAAGAUUCUUUUUACCAACUGGUAAUUUCUAUCGAAAGAGAAUUCGUCAGACGUGUCCACGACCGCAAAUUCGUUCCUCAAACUGUACAAUCUCUCAAAUUGUAUUAUCCAAUGUGACCACGCAAUCUGGCCAAGAUUGCCGGUGAACAUUUAAUUUUUAUCUUGGAUAACGGUGGAGAACCACAAACGAGAAUUGCAAGUUUCUGAGUAAAGGGCAUCUUUCGAUAUUCUUUGGUGGGAUUAUAGAUAAGCUCAUUAUUUCUAUGAUCUGAGAAAGUGAUUGACGAUUUAAAGUUAUCGCUUUAUACGCAUUUCGUUCCAUAAAUAUUCAUUCGUUUCUCGUGAACUUUCUCGGGCGAGAUUCUUGCCGACACUUCCGGCAACAUAAUAUUCAGUCGUCCGCGUUAUGCGAAUUGGCAAAUGAAAAAUUUCUAAAAACCGAACGAAGAAAUUACACCAGGCGACAUAUAUCACUACGACAAUCUUAUCAAAUCAUUUAAAUGUUACCUAGUAUGUUACGCGUGCAUAUAAAAUUCAAAAUUCCACUUUUAAUAAGACAGUGACAUAUUAUUAGAAAUCCUAUUAUCAGCUAUUGCUGAUCAAUAAUGGGAAUUAUUUUCUGAAAAAAAAUUGUAGCACAUCCGCACUGUACUGUAAAGUAUGUACAAUUGUUUAAAGUCACAAACAACUAAAUAAAAAAAUUAUCCGUUAUUUGUUUAGCAACCGUGACGAUCGACCUGCUCCCAAUUAAUUCAUUGAUCCAAUAUAAUCUUGAUCAAUGACAAAACCGAAUUGCCUCAACAUCCUCAUGUAAAAAUAUCGUUAAAAUAAUUAUAGUUGUUUCCAUACACGUCAUACGAGUAGAAUAAUAAACUUUGAUAUCAGUAUUAUCAUUUGACAUCUCAAAAGAAUGACAGAGCACCCCUUACCAUAAAACGCAAACUAUAAACUACGGAGAAAAUUAAAAAAAAUAGUAA